UCCCUGGUUGCUCAGACAGUAAAGCGUCUGCCUGCAAUGCAGGAGACCCGGUUCAAUUCCUGGGUAGGGAA
This 71-nucleotide transfer RNA is filed under the name Bos taurus (domestic cattle). It matches the Rfam family "tRNA". From Rfam's summary of the family: Transfer RNA (tRNA) molecules are approximately 80 nucleotides in length. Their secondary structure includes four short double-helical elements and three loops (D, anti-codon, and T loops). The record is from Rfam by way of RNAcentral. Lineage: Eukaryota; Metazoa; Chordata; Mammalia; Artiodactyla; Bovidae. RNAcentral also lists the same sequence under 2 other names.